Molecule: long non-coding RNA, 1769 nt
Filed under: Scleropages formosus (Asian bonytongue)
Lineage: Eukaryota; Metazoa; Chordata; Actinopteri; Osteoglossiformes; Osteoglossidae
Description: lncRNA (ENSSFOG00015025120.1)
Source: RNAcentral
CGGGAAAGCAAAGCUCACUGCCAUAGGAAAUGUCUGUUCUCUAAAUAUGCCUGUCAACACACCCCUGGGACUUGUGUGUUUUACAAGAUACUUAUCAGGGUGUGUGGCUCCAGCUGCCAGUUGUUUGUGUGCUCUUGAAACGGAUUCAUCUGCGAACGGUGUCAAACGAGCGCAGCCACUGCGGGGAUCUGCUGUUCGCAUCCACUUCCGCCUACGCCAGUGCGCUGAAGACGGACGCGUGUGCAACCACUUGAGGGGUGUUGGAGCCAAAGACACGGCAAAGGUCGGUUACUUGGAAAGGAAUGCAUCUGAUACUGGCAACAAAAAUCCAGAUGCCCCGUCCCUCCUUCCACCAGUGCGGGGACAUGUCAUCCGUGACCCCUCCCCCAUGGGGACAAAAGGUCACUGACCACUACAGUGCGAGUGAUAACUGCAUUAGCCUUUCAAAACUCCCAAGAACCCAGGCAGUAAAUGCAAAAGUAGGUACAAUAUCUACUCCUGAACGUGUGGACCGUGUGAGUCCGGGCAUCGUGGAUCCUUCUUCUGGACAGCAAUGCAUCGAUCGUGUUGUUCUUCUGCUGGAAUUGAAAUGUUGAUUCUGAAAAAUAGGGCAAAAUCAACAUCAUGACCUCAACAGCAAAAUAUUCCAGAACUAAAUGCACUUUCCGUAGGAAUGCUAGGCCUGCAGGAACAGAAAGCGUGCCUGAGUAAUUUUAAUAAUGACUACCAGGUUCCUAGAUCCGCCGUUUUGGAAAACAUACGAUGUGAAAAUGUCAACAGAGUCAAAACGCUUUUUCUUAAAAAUCCAGCAAAUCUUUUCAUUUACUUAUUUUGCAGACUCUUUUCUUCAAAGCAACUUCCAAUGUAUACUAUGUAGUGUUAUGAGCCCACACACCUUAUUCACCAAGGUGACUUACACUGCUAGAUACACUACUUGUAAUGGGUCACUCAUCCAUACAUCAGUGAAACACACUCUCUCUGUAUCAGUCACACACUAUGGGGGAACGUGAACAGAAUGUCUUUGGACUGUGGGAGGAAACCAGAGCACCUGGAGGAAACCCACGCAGACGUGGGGAGAACAAGCAAACUCCACACGGAGUGAGUGGGGAUCAAACCCACAUCCACCUAGGUGCUGUGAGACAGCAGCACUACUUGAUGUGCCACCGCGUCACCUGUUGACAUGCUUUAGUCACAUCAUUGUACGUUGAUCGAAAUCAACUCAUCCAUUCGCACAUUUUAGGAAAGGUAUUGCUUUAAAGAGUACAAGAGCAUCCUUGGCUUUGAACUGGAAAACGGGAAAGUGCUCAAAGUCAGCGUGACAAACCAUUCAGACAACUUGCGUUAGUCAUAGACCUCAGCUGACGAGUCCUCGUUCAUCCCGUUCUAUUGACAGAAAUUUUCAGCUGUGCGGAAACAAAGAGCAAUAUGAGUUUCUAUAACUUCUGGAGAGAUUUGUACCUAAGAAACAACUUUUUCUGGUGUCCUUUUGCGAUACUCUAAACGGUUAAUUGGACCUUUGCCUCGUAGCAGAAAGCAGUUUGAGUUAUUUUAGGAGAGUGGAACGGGGCCUGUAAAUUUACUGCUCUAAGCAAGCUGUACGGACCACCCUGAGUGAAAUAACACAUAAUACAAUCCAGAGCCUGCGUUCUCUUUUCCCUUGUCUUCCCACGUUGUAUCUACCUAUAUCUCGCACCAAGUGAGCUCUCUCCUUACCAAAAUUCUUGUGCACAGUCCGUGAUAUAAUAAACGCAUAAUCCUGUGCCGGCUCA